GUCAAGAUGGCCGAGCGGUCUAAGGCGAUGCGUUCAGGUCGCAGUCUCCCCUGGAGGCGUGGGUUUGAAUCCCACUUCUGACA
Molecule: transfer RNA, 83 nt
Filed under: Perca fluviatilis (European perch)
Lineage: Eukaryota; Metazoa; Chordata; Actinopteri; Perciformes; Percidae
Rfam family: tRNA
About the family: Transfer RNA (tRNA) molecules are approximately 80 nucleotides in length. Their secondary structure includes four short double-helical elements and three loops (D, anti-codon, and T loops).
Source: Rfam by way of RNAcentral